This 343-nucleotide ribosomal RNA is filed under the name uncultured bacterium. Its description in RNAcentral is "bacterial SSU rRNA". It matches the Rfam family "Bacterial small subunit ribosomal RNA", at positions 167 to 507 of the family's 1533-position model. The record is from RNAcentral.
UACCCAUAGUAUAAUAGAAGUGGCAUCACUUUAUUAAUAAAGAUUUAUCACUCGAAGAUGGCUGUGCGGCUGAUUAGGUAGUUGGCGGGGUAAAGGCCCACCAAGCCUGCGAUCAGUAAACUGGUGUGAGAGCACGACCAGUCACACGGGCACUGAGACACGGGCCCGACUCCUACGGGAGGCAGCAGUAAGGAAUAUUGGUCAAUGGAGGCAACUCUGAACCAGCCAUGCCGCGUGGAGGAUGAAGGUCCUCUGGAUUGUAAACUUCUUUUAUAUGGGACGAAAAAAGGCUUUUCUAAGUCGUCUGACGGUACCAUAUGAAUAAGCACCGGCUAACUCCGUG